UACGUAGGAUGCAAGCGUUGUCCGGAAUUAUUGGGCGUAAAGAGCGCGCAGGCGGUAACUCAAGUCAGAUGUGAAAUAUCCGGGCUUAACCCGGAGGGGUCAUUUGAAACUGAGUAACUAGAGUACAGCAGAGGAUAGCGGAAUUCCCGGUGUAGUGGUGAAAUGCGUAGAUAUCGGGAGGAACACAGUGGCGAAGGCGGCC
Molecule: ribosomal RNA, 202 nt
Filed under: uncultured bacterium
Lineage: Bacteria
Description: partial 16S ribosomal RNA
Rfam family: Bacterial small subunit ribosomal RNA
Source: RNAcentral